AUUGAACGCUGGCGGCAUGAUUUACACAUGCAAGUCGAACGGUAACAGGCCGCAAGGUGCUGACGAGUGGCGAACGGGUGAGUAAUGCAUCGGAACGUGCCCAGUCGUGGGGGAUAACUACUCGAAAGAGUAGCUAAUACCGCAUACGAUCUAUGGAUGAAAGCGGGGGACCGUAAGGCCUCGCGCGAUUUGAGCGGCCGAUGUCAGAUUAGGUAGUUGGUGUGGUAAAGGCUCACCAAGCCAACGAUCUGUAGCUGGUCUGAGAGGACGACCAGCCACACUGGGACUGAGACACGGCCCAGACUCCUACGGGAGGCAGCAGUGGGGAAUUUUGGACAAUGGGCGCAAGCCUGAUCCAGCAAUGCCGCGUGCAGGAAGAAGGCCUUCGGGUUGUAAACUGCUUUUGUACGGAACGAAACGGCUCUGGUUAAUACCCGGGGCUAAUGACGGUACCGUAAGAAUAAGCACCGGCUAACCACGUG
RNAcentral lists this ribosomal RNA (482 nucleotides) under uncultured bacterium. RNAcentral describes it as "partial 16S ribosomal RNA". It matches the Rfam family "Bacterial small subunit ribosomal RNA", at positions 30 to 507 of the family's 1533-position model. The record is from RNAcentral.